Molecule: ribosomal RNA, 427 nt
Filed under: uncultured eukaryote
Lineage: Eukaryota
Description: SSU rRNA
Rfam family: Eukaryotic small subunit ribosomal RNA
Source: RNAcentral
CAAUAGCGUAUAUUAAAGUUGUUGCAGUUAAAAGCUCGUAGUUGGAUUUCUGGUGGGAGCGAUCGGUCCGCGCCGCAAGGCGUGCGUACUAGUGUCGUCUCUGGCCAUCCUUGUGGAGAGCGGUUCUGGUAUUAAGUUAUCGGGGUCGGGAUCCACAUCAUUUACUGUGAAAAAUUAGAGUGUUCAAAGCAGGCGUCCGCCGUUGAAUACAUUAGCAUGGAAUAAUAAGAUAGGACUUUGGUGGUCUAUUUUGUUGGUUUGCACACCAAGGUAAUGAUUAAUAGGGAUAGUUGGGGGUAUUCAUAUUUCAUUGUCAGAGGUGAAAUUCUUGGAUUUAUGAAAGAUGAACUAAUGCAAAAGCAUUUACCAAGGAUGUUUUCAUUAAUCAAGAACGAAAGUUAGGGGAUCGAAGACGAUUAGAUACCAU